CUAUCUACAGCAGUACACUAAAGUUUGUAACCUGACUCGGCAAAACAACUGCUGCAACGGUAAAAAAUUUGGUUGCAGCUGCCGCCUAAGACACAUUAAAAAAACAAGACAAAUGUUAAUCAUAUCCUUAAAACAUUGAUUAAGAAAUUAAAAAGAGAAAACAUUAAGUAUUUUCUUCUUUAAUUUCUUAACCAAUAUCUAAAACACUGAUUAACAAGAAAAAAACAAACAAAAGCAACCUAAAACACACCAAAUCUAAACUAAACCCGUUAACCACUGAUUAUUCAUGAGUCAGAUAAAGCUGCCCAAUCAAUCUCCACGGAAGGGUACUUCUCCAAGUCCAACCCAAGAUUGU
RNAcentral lists this long non-coding RNA (355 nucleotides) under Glycine max (soybean). RNAcentral's name for it is "long non-coding RNA (GMAX_LNC004019)". The record is from RNAcentral. Lineage: Eukaryota; Viridiplantae; Streptophyta; Magnoliopsida; Fabales; Fabaceae.